Molecule: ribosomal RNA, 1053 nt
Filed under: uncultured bacterium
Lineage: Bacteria
Description: bacterial SSU rRNA
Rfam family: Bacterial small subunit ribosomal RNA
Source: RNAcentral
GAGAGAAGAAAGACGGGCGGUUAAUAGCCGCGCGGGCUGACGUUAUCUCCCAAGAAAGCCUCGGCUAACUACGUGCCAGCAGCCGCGGUAAUACGUAGGAGGCAAGCGUUGUCCGGAAUUACUGGGCGUAAAGGGUGUGUAGGCGGGACGGUAAGUCGAGCGUGAAAUCCCACGGCUCAACCGUGGAACUGCUCUCGAUACUGCCGACCUUGAGUACGGGAUAGGAGAGUGGAACUCACGGUGUAGCGGUAAAAUGCGUAGAUAUCGUGAGGAACACCGGUGGCGAAGCGGCUCUCUGGCCCGAUACUGACGCUGAGACACGAAAGCCAGGGUAGCGAACGGGAUUAGAUACCCCGGUAGUCCUGGCCGUAAACGAUGGGCACUAGGUGUGGGAGGCAUCGACCCUUUCCGUGCCGAAGCUAACGCAUUAAGUGCCCCGCCUGGGGAGUACGAUCGCAAGGUUGAAACUCAAAGGAAUUGACGGGGGCCCGCACAAACGGUGGAGCAUGUGGUUCAAUUCGAUGCAACGCGAAGAACCUUACCUGGGCUUGACAUUCCGGGAAAACCCCACGAAAGUGGGACUGGGAGCUUGCUCCCGUCCGGGACAGGUGCUGCAUGGCUGUCGUCAGCUCGUGUCGUGAGAUGUUGGGUUAAGUCCCGCAACGAGCGCAACCCUCGUCGUUAGUUGCCAGCGGUUCGGCCGGGAACUCUAGCGAGACUGCCGGCGUUAAGCCGGAGGAAGGUGGGGAUGACGUCAAGUCCUCAUGGCCUUUAUGCCCAGGGCUACACACGUGCUACAAUGGCCGGUACAGAGGGUCGCAAUACCGCGAGGUGGAGCCAAUCCCUAAAGCCGGCCCCAGUUCGGAUCGGAGUCUGCAACUCGACUCCGUGAAGUCGGAAUCGUUAGUAAUCGCGGAUCAGCAGGCCGCGGUGAAUACGUUCCCGGGCCUUGUACACACCGCCCGUCACACCAUCCGAGUCGGGUGCACCCGAAGUCGCUGCUCUAACCCUUAGGGGAAGAAGGCGCCGAAGGUGUGUCUGGUAAGGAGGGUG